Molecule: non-coding RNA, 1050 nt
Organism: Physeter macrocephalus (sperm whale)
Lineage: Eukaryota; Metazoa; Chordata; Mammalia; Artiodactyla; Physeteridae
Source: the annotation of a RefSeq genome assembly
AUGUGCUUCGUGAGCUACGCAAAUGAGUGUCACACGGCUUCCUCUCUCACAGCCUCCUCCACGGCCCCGAAAGUCUACCCUCUGCCCCCCAGCUGCGGGGACACACCUAGUUCCACAGUGGUCGUGGGCUGCCUGGUCUCGAGCUACUUCCCUGAGCCAGUGACCGUGACCUGGAACUCGGGCGCCCCUUCCAGCGGCGUGCACACCUUCCCAUCCGUCCGAGGGUCCUCGGGGCUGUACUCUCUCAGCAGCACUGUGACCGUGCCUGCCAGCACCUCAUCCGGCAAGAGCUUCACCUGCAGCAUAGACCACCGGGCCAGCAGCACCAAGGUGGACAAGCGCAUCGGUCCACCCAGGGGCUGACCCCCCACCGUGUCUCCCCAACCAACCCCUGAGCUCCCAGGAGGACCGCCCGUCUUCAUCUUCCCCCCGAAACCCAGGGACACCCUCACAAUGUCCCGAACACCGGAAGUCUCCUGCAUGGUGGUGGACGUGAGCAAGGAGGACCCCAAUGUCCAGUUCUCCUGGUACGUGGACGGUGUAGAGAUGCACACGGCCAAGACGAAGCCAAUGGAGGAGCAGUUCAACAGCACCUACCGUGUGGUCAGCGCCCUGCCCAUCCAGCACCAGGACUGGCUGAAGGGAAAGGAGUUCAAGUGCAAGGUCAACAACAAAGGCCUCCCAGACCCCAUUGUGAGAACCAUCUCCAAGGACAUAGGGCAGACCCACGAGCCGCAGGUGUACGUACUGGCCCCACCGCGGGAAGAGCUGGCCAAGAGCUCGGUCAGCUUAACCUGCAUGGUCACCAGCUUCUUCUACCCAGGCAACAUCGACGUGGAGUGGCAGAGAAACGGGCAGCCAGAGUCAGUGGGCAAAUACAAUACGACGCCACCCCAGCUGGAGGACGAAGACUCCUUCUUCCUAUACAGCAAGCUCAGGGUGGACAAGACGAACUGGCAGCAGGGAGACACCUACACGUGUGUAGUUUUGCACGAGGCUCUACACAAUCACAACACGCAGAAGUCCAUCUCCCAGCCUUCGGGUAAUUGA